Molecule: ribosomal RNA, 2253 nt
Filed under: Triticum aestivum (bread wheat)
Lineage: Eukaryota; Viridiplantae; Streptophyta; Magnoliopsida; Poales; Poaceae
Description: partial small subunit ribosomal RNA
Source: RNAcentral
AUGAACACAUCCAACAAAAAACACCCUUUGCAGGCCUGGCUGGCUGGGAAGCUGCAUGUGAGCCGGUUACAAGAAUCAAUGGAUGGAUGGAUCAGUGAGUUUCCGACGCCCGUGCGACACUGGAGCAUCCGUGUGGGGGUCCUUUACAGCUUAUGCGGCCACCUUCUCCUCGUCCUCACGGCCGGAAGACGGCGGCAUGAGGCCUUUGCUCUGUCACCGUUGGUGGCUACCGUGUUAGCGGACGGUAUCGACAAAUUCGUCAUCACCCUAUUGUUUAUUAGCGACAAAACAUCAAGGGAGCAGCAACUCUCCGCGUUCUGGUUGCCCUUCCUCCUAAUUCAUAUCAGUCGCCCGGACAACAUCAGCGGUUUUUCCAUUGAGGAGAAUGUGUUUUCGCCUAGCCAGAUGUUGAGUGCUGAUGCUGCUAUCUUGGGAGCCUCCAAUGCCCUGUACGUCCAUGUAAUUCGCUCCCGUCCCAGUGCCGGGACCUUGGUGCCAGCGUCCUUCCUCAUGUACGCAUUGGGUAUUUUCAAGUACUUGGAGAGGAUAAAUGCACAAAGGAGAGGCAACUUGAACAGCAUCAAGAUCUUAAUGAAGAUGAAGAAUCAGCAAAGGAGAUUCAGUUUCCAUCACACUGGUGUCCAUGGGCCCCUGGAUAAUGAUCAAGCCCUGCUUGUCGCUCACAGCAUGCUUCCUAUCACCAAAUGUGCCUUUUGUGACUGCUCGGUGGACAUGGAUCCUAACGUCCGCGAAACCGGCAGAAAGAUAUUGUCUUGUGGAUGGGAGAGUAUGUGCAAGGUGGUGGAGAUGGAGCUCUCCCUCAUGUACGACCUCAUAUACACCAAGGCAACCGUCAUCCACGUCUGGCCUGGCUACAUCAUCCGCAUCGUCUCCCCGCUAAUCAUCUGCGCCAUGCUAUUUCUGUUAACUGCUUAUGAUAAAGAAUCCCAAACAGUAGAAGAUAUUGUUAUCACUUACAUAUUGGUGGUCUCCACCUUACUACUGGAUGUAAGAUGGCUGCUGGGAGCACUAGGGUCAACCUGGGCAUAUACAUUCUUCAAAGAAUCGAGAUGGCAGUGGCUAAAGCAUGCAGUUGUCUGUGAUGGAAGAUGGCACCGGCUCCGUACCAUUGUAGUGUCUAUGAGCUCCAGGUUCGACAUGAAGCAGCCAAGUAGCUACAGGUUGUGGCGAGGAAUCAUGGGCCAGUACAACUUGUUGCAUGAGUGCACUCGUCACAACGACAAUCCAAUAAGUGUAAGUAGUAUGAUGGGCUUGUUCUACCUCCAACCACAGGAGAGCAUGAUGCAGCACGAAUACCAUGACAGACGUGGCUUUAGGAUUCCACAAGAUUUGAAGGGUCUGUUGUUCGAACGCAUAUGGGAAAAGUUGAAGUUAUCAUACACACCCGGCAAGGUUCAGGAGGAAGAAGUUGUGCAGUUUGAUCCUGAUGAGUUGCAAGAGCUCAUUCUUAUCUGGCACAUGGCAACGGACAUUUUCCUCCAAAAGGUCACCUUUGCAGAUGAAAAAUCUCAAAAAUAUGUGAAGUUGAUCAGCAAGCUGUCUAACUACCUGGUGUUCCUCGUGGUUGUAUGCCCCAACAUGCUACCGGUCCGUAAGCUGCCAAGCAAGUAUGAAGAAACCAACAAAGCGUUGAGGGACUAUUUGAGUGAUGAAAAGAGGCCUCCUAGUUGCAAAACAAGAGAGCAGAAGAUUGCCUUUAUCCUGGAACAGAUGGGGGACGGAAAUAGUACUAGUAGCAUUGUUCUGUCGGAUGGUAAUCAAUAUGCCGGUGUGCUACGAAGCUGUUUUGCCGAAGGGGGGUAUAUCGACCUAGUUGAGAAGAUGGGGGAAAAGUCCCGCCGAAGAUUUAAGAAGUUGAUGCCGGGAUUGUGUUCUUACUCUGAGUUGGUCACCGAUGAAGAACUGUUGUUGAAUCUCAUCUUUGAUGCAUGGGUACUUUUGCUCAUGAAUGCGUCCAAAGGGUCUAGCAGGGAUUCCCAUGCCAAGCAGCUCGGCCAUGGCGGCGACCUCGUAACCAUAGUGUGGAUCAUGACAAUACAUGCCAACAUAUUUGGCAUCCAAGAGGAAAAUAACGGGGUUGUCAGUGUAAGUCCUCUGCUCCUCCAUGUGAGGAGGCUACAUUCAGGCUUGUGGUCAAACCAUGGUUCGAUGUAUGGCAGCUGCCGAUUGCUAUCUGUGAACCAGUGCAAUUCACACGAGGUGAGGCGCGUCGCCGCUCCCCUCCAUUGGUGA